This is a long non-coding RNA of Liolophura sinensis, 1449 nucleotides long. RefSeq lists it as uncharacterized. The transcript has 3 exons. Lineage: Eukaryota; Metazoa; Mollusca; Polyplacophora; Chitonida; Chitonidae. The record is from RefSeq and is a predicted model, not a curated record.
AGCAGUGACAAAUUUUAUACAAAACUGGCGGUUACAAAUAUCUAGCGUAUGUGUGAUCUGUUGGGGUGUUGUCCAGUUGUCCCUUGGCAUAGUCAGUUUUCUCUUCUGGAUUUGAAAGCCUGUACUCAAUGUGCUCUCGGAGUUUUCUGGCUGUAUUGCGGAGUGAUCUCCCCUUAACUGUCUGUCGCUUCUUAUAAACCUUGUGGUACUGGUUCACCCUUUCAAUCUGUUGUACUGUUUUCUCGCUCCUAGGUGAAAUACUGGCGCCGACAGCUUGGAGUUUGGCAGCCGUGGACUUGUCCUGGCCAUUGUUAAGUCUGUGGAUUGUGGACGCCGCCCUUCCCUCCAUAUUUCUGCUGUAGUUUACAUUCUUGGGCAAGGAGACGCUGAGUGAUCUGUUGACAGCUUCGCACUUUUGAGUACUGGUGUUCAUCCGGAGACUGGUGACGGCUGUCUCGCUCAACCUCAUGUGCAGUACUUCGGUCAAUAGUUUCCUGUCGUUGUCAUCCAUGUUGAAAGGGCAGAGUUUACUGGCGGAUAAAAACAGGGAUCUCUCCCACCAGCUGCUGGUUUCCCCUCCGGAGCAAACCACACUGUUCCUGCGGCAUUUGGAACAGUCCCCACCGUAACACCUGACCGUUGCAUCCACAACCCUGGAUGCCAAUGUGACACCCUUUGAUGUGACUGUGUAGAGUAAUAACCUGCUGUGAGACAACAGCAAUGGUGCAGGGAGGUUUUUGCAUGAUAAACAUCUUGUCUUUCCAAAACAGUUGACCUGAUGGAGAUAUCUUGAACGGUAUAUGCACUGCAAAGCUUCAAAGUUUACCCUUCAGAGUUUUUUCACCCUGAAAAAAAGACACAUGUCCAAGAUGGGGGUACCCCAACUUGAAUUCAUUCAACUCCAAAGUUUCUGCAUGUAUCAAGCCCUAAUUUUGCCUGUGAGGUUCAGAAGUGUCAGGAAUUGUGUGGUGCAAAAAUUAUUGAUUUUGAAAGAAGGUGGCUGGUGUGAUAGGACACAGACCCCCAUUACAACUUCCGUUUUUCGGUAGGGACGAUUGUAGUUCUGUGAAUUUUAGGGUAUAAAGUCUUUUUUUGCUCCCAGGCGUCCAUUUUUGGUGCACAGGUGCAUGCUUGGUAUUAAAAUGCUGGAAACUGUCUAAACUUUGAGGAGGUAUGAGCUUUAUUGAUGAAAGUUUGAAACUCUGGGCGAGAGGACACAAGGUGUGAGGUAGUGAUGAGGCUGCGAGUGACGUCCCCUUGGCGUUGCUAGGCACGCCUCCCAGCUGCCGGCAUGGAAAGGUCCAGAUUUUGACGGUCAACCUAUGUCAAGAUUUUUAUGGCUUCUUUCUCACAGGCUGGGCCAGGUAUGCACCAAAGCUUAUUGGCCACGGAAUGUUUGGGACUGAGCUACAGUGCUAGACGUUAACAUUGUCGCUUAUGGAAAAUUAA